UCUUAAAGAUGCCAUUAUUUAGUCACUUGUCGUUAUUUAGUCACUUGCCGUCAAUCCACCGGUUAUGACCAGUUUUUGAUGUCAUUUUGACGUGAGUUUGCUACCUGAGUGUUUAGACAAUCUAUAAAAAGCACAGGAGAGGAUAGUUUCCUUAUGUUCAGUGGAUACACCGGAUACAAGUUUUUUUAUUUACGUAACUUUAUAUACGUCAUAUUCAUUUUUUCGCAAAAAGAGACUAUGUAAUCUUCAGGUGUGGCAAAUUACACGUUAAUCUGCAUUCUUCCUACUUCACUUUGCGGAAAAUGAAUCAUCAGCAGCAACUUCUAUAUUACAAAUACAAUCACGCGUUAGAAGAGCAAUCAAUCAUUCGGUGUGAUCGGAUAGUGUAACGAACACAAUAAGCCAAAGUGAAGUAAGUGAUACGUGAAGUACGCGGAUAUAGCACGCUAAUUUCAGAUAAUUAAGUGGGAAAAAUCUAGAAAAGGAGAUACGAAGUUUUGGAAACACAAAGAUUAAUCGAAUUUCGAUUCAAUUUACAAAUAAAAUCUGUGUUGCUCUUUUGUAUUGUUAUAAGAUGAAAUUUUCCGUCUGUAUUUUGUUAGUGCUAUUGAUACUCAGUUUAGUGUCAGAGGACCUUUGCCAGUACCGUGGUCACAGACGGAGAUUUCGGAAUAAAAAGCCGAAAUUUAACCCGUCGCUCUUCAACAUUAAGCCUUUUAUAGGCCCGAAUUCAGGCCAAAAACCGCCGUGUCCCCGAGGUCAGAUGUCGGGUAUGAAUAUGUGUCGCCCAGUCAGAAAAUGACAGGCUCAAAGAGAUCAGUAGUUCAGUAACAGUAUUUUAGCUGAAAACCGAAUGCACGGUAGAAUUCCAAAAUAUCGUCGCCACAGCACAGCCACAUAAUGACAAAAUUUUAACUUAACAUUUUAAUGACGUUUUCAGGAAGUCUCUAAACGUUAAUAAUAUGUCAUUAUGACGUCGUAUAGAAACGUCAUUAAGACGUCACGAAAAAGACGUCUUAAAAAUACCAUUAUUUAGUCAUUUGACGUCAAUUCGCGGGUUAUGACCAGUUUUUGACGUCAUUUUGACGUGAGUUUGCUGAGUUUUUAGACAAUCUUUAGAAAAAACCACAGGAGAGGAUAGUUUCCUUAUGUUCAGUGGAUACACCGGAUACAAGUUCUUUACGUACGUACAAGUUCUGUAUGUACGUCAUAUUCAUUCUUUCGCAUAAAGAAAACUAUGUGACUCUCAGGCGUGAUACGUUAAUCUGCAUUAUUCCUCCUCCUAUUUUGUGUACCGACGAAACUUCAAUAAAUUCAUCUUACUAGUUCUGCCUACAAUGCGCAUUUAUUUAAAUUAUAUUACAUGUUUUACAUAAAAAUAUAAUGAGAGAAAGAGAGAGAACUAUGCAAUAAAUCAUAUUUCAGUUUAGACAUAUCCAUGUGAUAGAGAAAUAAUGACUUUUCAAUGACACUUUUCAUUAAGAAAAGAAUAGAGAUUCACAGCAACAGUUACCAUACAGAUAUUUCAAACAUAUUACAUACAUAUUUUAGUCCAUCCCAUACAUUAUAUAUAUAGUCUUCAUACAAAUACAUUAAAUUCUAUUUUUUACUGAUGCGUCAGAGCAUUUCUUCUGCGAGUUCACUAAAAGAUGCAAUCAUCUAGCAGUAAAAAACCAACGCAAUUAGACGAGAACGUGGAGAGGAUGAAUCACGCUUUUUUAUUCUAACAUUGAAACUGUUAUAAUGAUUUGAUGUUCACAUUAGAACACAAAAUAUAUUGUAAAUCUGUGUAGAAAAAACUUGUAUACUCCUGGCCAGUUUUCUGGUAGAUAAACGUGUAGCUGACGCAUAAAGAAGUAACUAUGCCAUGUCUAGGUAUAGCUUCCGGAAUGGAAAAUCAAGUAACUAUGCCGUUAAAAAAUUAUAUUUAAAUUUAAAAAUAUAUUUAAUUUUAAAUUUAAGGAAAAGUUUUUAGAAUAAAACUUCAUCUAUUCUAUGCAAGCUAUCAUGCAAUAAAAAAAAUUAAAAAAAACUUUUGAUUAUUUAACAUGUAAUCAAUGUCAUUUUAAAUUUUUCAUAUGGCAUUACGCAAUUUUCUUUUUCAUAAUAUUGUAGACGACUUCAAGAUAAAUUCAAUACACUAUAUAAGAAAUAUAAUUUUUAUUUAUAUAUAAUAUCAUAUUGGCAGUGUUAUUAUAAAUAAAAUAAAAUUUUAUUUUAUUUAAGUUAAAUUAAAUUUUAUUUUAUUUUUAAUUUUAAUUGUGUAUCGGAAAUGUUUAUGUUUACGUACUACAUACAUCUAGUCAGAGCUUGUAAAUACUGCUAUUUAAAGUAAUGCUGCCAAUUUGAUAUUAAAUAUUAAUAAUAAUACUUCUUACAUAUAGUGCGUCUUAAAAUUCUCUAUAAUAUUAUGAAAAAAAUUGCAAGGUUCCAUUUGUAAAAUUCAAGGUAACAUUGAUUUCUUUAUGAAAAUAAAAUUUUGUUUAACAUUUUUUUAUUGUAUAUGGUAGCUUGCAUGGAACAGAUAAAUUUUCAUUAACAACAAAAAUAAACUUUUAAAAAACAGCAUUAAUAGCGAAAGGGUUAAAUGAAGCUCAAUAGUGUUUCAUUAAAUUAUUAUGAUAGCGCGCAAUAUAGCUACAGGCUUUUACGAAAACUAAUCUUGCGUAUAUGUGAUUAUAUGUGAAGAUUAUUUUAUUUAAUAUACGAUAUAAUACACGAUAUGUUCGAAAUCAUUUGGUUAUAUAUUUAAACAGAUCCUUAAAGAGCGCAGUUAUCAAAUUUACUGUAACUAUUAAUACCGAUGAUGUUGGCUCAGUAAUCUUAAAUGUUACAAACUUAAGUGAACUGACUCACAAUAAUUAAUAAAGAAUAUGUAUUCUCUCUUUUGGAUUAGGAUUUACGUUAUCAUAAUUUAUGGAAAGGCAAUUUUUGUAUUUUGUUUUAUACAGUUUACUGUCCCUAAAGAUUUCUUGUUAACUCUAUAAAUAAUACCUCUUGAAAAGUUACAUAUAGGUUUGUCACGGAUUUCUUUCGAAAAUACGACAUGUGUAUUUUAUGUAUGUUUGCAAAUAUCAGCAAAUUCCAGCAAUGUCAGGGAAAAUCAAAUUUGAGGUUACGCUCUAAAAUAUUAUUGGGGCGAUAACCGCGCAAGGACGAAAAUAUUCUGCGUAUCAACGAAGUUUCAACAAAUUUAUGUUAUUAAGUCCGGUCACGAUACGUGUGUAUCUAAAUUAUAUUACUAACUAUAUACGAAUAUAUAAUAAACUAUGGGAAUAACAUUUAAUUUGUAUAUGCCCAAGUGAUAGAAAUAAUAACGGCUUUCGACAGAAAGGACACAUUUACUUCACUGAUACAUUCCAUUGCUCUUCUAGCUUGACUGCGAACAGCAGCCAAUAUUUACCGACAUAUAGUUAUUUCACAUUAAUGUAGUCGGAGUGUUAUUUUUAAAACGCAUUCAACCAAGAGGUCGAUGUGAACUGAAAAGUGAGUUAGUGGAAUAAUAUUCUCCGCAUAGAUAACGGAAUUUGCACAAUUAGCAUUGUUUACAAUUGAUUGCAGUUUUACAAAAUUGUCAAAAUAAUACCAAUUAAUUUACCACAUAAUUUUUUCUUUUACGCUAAAUUUGUUUUUUUUUUUGGACAAUCUUUUAGAUUAUCUAUAAAAAAACUACAGGGGAGAAUAUAGUUUUAAUGCAUAUGCCAGGUAUAAGUUCUCCUAUCUACUUCACUGAUAUUCAUUACCAUCAAUCACGACUUGUAACGGCACAUAUUAAUUUGCAUCUUUCCUGCUCUAUAAUUUAGAAAUUACGUCGGAAAUUGCUUAGAAACGGAGCAACUUCUAUAUUAUAAGUAGGAUCACGCGUUAGAAUAUCAUUUACUCGGUAUGAUGGAUAACGAAUACAACAAGCCAAAGUAAAGUAAGUGAUACGUGAAGUACGCGGAUAUCAUACUUUAAUUUGAGAUAAUUAAAUGGGAAAAAUUUAGAAAAAGCGAUACGAAGUUUUGGAAACACAAAAAUUAAUCGAAUUUCGAUUCAAUUUACAAAUAAAAUAUGUGUUGCUCUUUUGCUACAAGAUGAAAUUUUCCGUCUGUAUUCUGUUAGUGCUAUUGAUACUCAGUUUAGUGUCAGAAGACCUUUGAGAGUCGUGAUGACAGACGGAAACAAGUACCGAGAAAACGGCCAAGAAUGCCAUUAGGUAUAUGUCCAUUCAGUCGUGCAGACGUGAAUUCAAAUAUAAGACCGCCGUGCCCCAAAGGUGAGAAGCUGAGUAUGGGAAGAUGUCGUCGCCCUGCAAGAUAUGAUAGAUAGUGAUAUACAUCUUUAACUGUCAGAGUCCAAAGAGAUCAGUAGUUCUGUAAUAGUAUUUUAGCCGAAAACUGGAUGAAGAAUUCGGUAGAAUUCCAAAAUAUCGUCGCCGCAGUACAACCACAUAAUGACAAAAAUAU
Long non-coding RNA from Odontomachus brunneus, 4448 nucleotides. RefSeq lists it as uncharacterized. The record is from RefSeq and is a predicted model, not a curated record. Lineage: Eukaryota; Metazoa; Arthropoda; Insecta; Hymenoptera; Formicidae. The transcript has 3 exons.